Oreochromis niloticus (Nile tilapia) is the source of this 1317-nucleotide long non-coding RNA. RefSeq lists it as uncharacterized. The record is from RefSeq and is a predicted model, not a curated record. NCBI's taxonomy places the organism in Eukaryota, Metazoa, Chordata, Actinopteri, Cichliformes, Cichlidae. The transcript is spliced from 5 exons.
AAUAAAGAUUUCUAUCAGAGCAAAUUAUCUCUCUCUCUAACCACGUCCUAACCUAGCAGUCAUAUAUAGCCUUUAAUUAAUCCUGCAUUUUUGUCAAAGACAUUUGUCACCAUGAAAUUAAAAGUUUAAAACAGCAACACGUGAGCAGAUUCACUGAGUAAUCAGAAAAGUUUAGCAUGAAUCUGGACACUAGAUUUAAGCUUGAAGUUUUAAUCAAAUAUCACUUGGUAGAAGCUCCUUACCGUUUGAAGAAAUCUCUUCUCAAUCUGCUGUCCUCUUGCUUGCAUCUUGUAUUUUUUCCAUCUGAGACUGACGUUAUUCCAUCUUAAUUAUUUUUCUCCGUGAAAAACACAGCAGCUCAUCUCAUCCCGGGGCGCCAGCGCCUCGAGCUCCGGGUCUCAGCAGAAAAGUGCCGAUAAACGUUGCAGGCUGAUCCAGGUUCUAGUAUGUGACGUCACAGCUGGAACACUGUUACGCCUCUGCGUAACCAUGGUUACAGGGGACGCUUUGGAGCUCAGCAGCAAAAGAUUUCAGGUUAAACUCUAAAACCAAAUAAAAUCAAUAUACUGUACAUGUGUGUAGUGUAAGCGUUCAUUUUCUGGAAGAGGCUGUAAAACAGAGUUAAAAGGUGGCCGAUGGCAGCCGUACUGAGUCAGCUGGGGAGUAAACUGUGGCGGUUCUCAGAGGUAGCUCAUGUGAGCCAGCAGUGACAUCUGUACAUGCAGUAGCCUUAAAAUGCUGAUUAUUUAUUCUCCUGCUAGAACAGGAGGCGAGAGCAGAGAACAAGAGUGCAGCAGUUUGGUGGAAGGUGAAGAAGAGGUGAGCAUCCAAAAGACGAGCAAGAGGACAGUUUCAUAGGAGACAUCACAGCACAAUAAAAGCUAGAAACUCACCUGAUGUAGUGGUAAGGUCAUGUUCACCACUAGAUGGAGACAACCUGGCACAGAGAAAGACUGGACUCAAAAAAUGAUCUUUAUUUUUACAUUUGUGGAAAUGGAGACCCGCCACACGAACACACAAGCUCAGCUCUGAAUUCUUUGCCAGCUGCAUAUAUAUUUCUGCACUGCGUCACACCGACACACAGUUUACUUUUUGUCUGGUUUCCUGUAUUUUAUACGCCUGUGCAGCUCUGCACUAAAACUUCCUGUUCUCUGCAGCAGCAUGCAGUUUCCUGUCAGUACUCUGUGACAUUGUGCUCAAACUGGUGUUCUCCCAGUCUGGCCUCAUUAAAACAAAAUAAACAGAAAAUAAGCAUUAAGAAUAUAUAUUUAUUUCAUAACAAUACACAUGGAAACUUCACACAGACAAACACACACA